AGCCUUUUGUAUGCCUGUUGAGAUUUCGUCAGCAGUCAGUCCAUUAGGGCUGAUGCAACUUCCAAAAUAAGUGAAGCG
This 78-nucleotide microRNA precursor is filed under the name Trichobilharzia regenti. RNAcentral's name for it is "mir-3492 microRNA precursor family". It matches the Rfam family "mir-3492 microRNA precursor family". The record is from Rfam by way of RNAcentral. Lineage: Eukaryota; Metazoa; Platyhelminthes; Trematoda; Strigeidida; Schistosomatidae.